AUAGACGGCUGUUAGUAUACAGAGGACUGGGCUGGCAGUAUAUAGGCGGCUGUUAGUAUACAGAGGGCUGGCAGUAUAUAGAUGGCUGUUAAUAUACAGAGGAUUGGGCUGGCAGUCUAUAGAUGGCUGUUAGUAUACAGAGGGCUGGCAGUAUAUAGACGGCUGUUAGUAUACAGAGGGCUGGCAGUAUAUAGACUGCUGUUAGUAUACAGAGGGCUGGCAGUAUAUAGAUGGCUGUUAAUAUACAGAGGACUCGGCUGGCAGUAUAUAGAUGGCUGUUAGUAUACAUAGGGCUGGCAGUAUAUAGACGGCUGUUAGUAUACAGAGGGCUGGCAGUAUAUAGACGGCUGUUAGUAUAUAGAAGGC
Pelobates cultripes (western spadefoot toad) is the source of this 366-nucleotide non-coding RNA. Lineage: Eukaryota; Metazoa; Chordata; Amphibia; Anura; Pelobatidae. The record is from the annotation of a GenBank genome assembly.